GAGCUGCCUGAGCCACUCAUGACUUUUGCCCAGUAUGGAGACUUCCUCAGGGCUGUUGGUGAGCCAUGGAGGAAGGGAUGGAGCUACCCUGCUCCAGCUGGGCCUGCAGUUUGGGUUGGGUUUGUUCCCAUCUGUACCUAGACCCCGCAUGGAGGGCUUCUGUGCAACCCAAACGCCUAGGGAAGAAGGGCUGGGCAUAGCUAGUGCCGCCCAGAACUGAUGGCCCUGGCUUCCCCAGAGCUUCCAGAGAAGCAGGAGCAGCUGGCUGCCAUCUAUGCAGUCCUGGACCACCUGCCUGAAGCCAACCACACCUCCCUGGAGAGGCUCAUCUUCCACCUUGUCAAGCAAGUACCCCUCCCCCAGGAGCUGAGAGGGCUGAGGGGUCAGAGAGGGGUGCCACCUAACUGUUGACUCUGCAG
This 419-nucleotide long non-coding RNA is filed under the name Rattus norvegicus (Norway rat). RNAcentral's name for it is "long non-coding RNA NONRATT011366". Lineage: Eukaryota; Metazoa; Chordata; Mammalia; Rodentia; Muridae. The record is from RNAcentral.